CCGGCAACCGGCGCACGGGUGAGUAACACGUAUGCAACCUGCCCGUCUCAGGGGGAUAAUCGUCGGAAACGGCGUCUAAUACCCCGUAUGAAGCUGGACGGCAUCGUCUGGUUUUGAAAGAAUAUCGGAGACGGAUGGGCAUGCGGCGCAUUAGCUAGUUGGCGGGGUAACGGCCCACCAAGGCGACGAUGCGUAGGGGUUCUGAGAGGAAGGCCCCCCACACUGGUACUGAGACACGGACCAGACUCCUACGGAAGGCAGCAG
RNAcentral lists this ribosomal RNA (264 nucleotides) under uncultured bacterium. RNAcentral describes it as "partial 16S ribosomal RNA". It matches the Rfam family "Bacterial small subunit ribosomal RNA", at positions 88 to 354 of the family's 1533-position model. The record is from RNAcentral.